GACGAACGCUGGCGGCGUGCCUAAUACAUGCAAGUUGAGCGCUGAAGGUUGGUACUUGUACCAACUGGAUGAGCAGCGAACGGGUGAGUAACGCGUGGGGAAUCUGCCUUUGAGCGGGGGACAACAUUUGGAAACGAAUGCUAAUACCGCAUAAAAACUUUAAACACAAGUUUUAAGUUUGAAAGAUGCAAUUGCAUCACUCAAAGAUGAUCCCGCGUUGUAUUAGCUAGUUGGUGAGGUAAAGGCUCACCAAGGCGAUGAUACAUAGCCGACCUGAGAGGGUGAUCGGCCACAUUGGGACUGAGACACGGCCCACACUCCUACGGGAGGCCGCAGUAGGGAAUCUUCGGCAAUGGACGCAAGUCUGACCGGGCAACGCCGCGUGAGUGCAGAAGGUUUUCGGAUCGUCAAACUCUGUUGGUAGAGAAGAACGUUGGUGAGAGUGGAAAGCUCAUCCAGUGACGGUAACUACCCAGAAAGGGACGGCUAACUACGUG
This 497-nucleotide ribosomal RNA is filed under the name uncultured bacterium. RNAcentral describes it as "partial 16S ribosomal RNA". It matches the Rfam family "Bacterial small subunit ribosomal RNA", at positions 28 to 507 of the family's 1533-position model. The record is from RNAcentral.